ACGAAUAUUUAUCAAGGCUUAAUAACGGAACUCAAGCUUCUUGUGCAAACUUGAGGCAUGACGAGAAGGGCAUGAUCAUAAUUAAAGUACAGAGAAGAAGAGGAGUGCAUUGAUUUCAGCUAAGCUUCAGCACGCGCUCGAGACUCUGAUGAUAAUUGCAAUUCAUAAAAGACUGCAACAAAACUACUAGUAUAACAAUAUCACUACACUCCCCAUCACAUGACUUGUUACU
Molecule: long non-coding RNA, 232 nt
Filed under: Daucus carota (carrot)
Lineage: Eukaryota; Viridiplantae; Streptophyta; Magnoliopsida; Apiales; Apiaceae
Description: long non-coding RNA (DCAR_LNC003852)
Source: RNAcentral